GAUGAACGCUAGCGGCAGGCCUAAUACAUGCAAGUCGAGGGGCAGCAUAGUAGCAAUACUGAUGGCGACCGGCGCACGGGUGCGUAACGCGUAUGCAACCUACCCAUUACUGAGGGAUAGCCCGGAGAAAUUCGGAUUAAUACCUCAUGGUAUCAAGGACAGGCAUUUGUUUUUGAUUAAAGAUUUAUCGGUAAUGGAUGGGCAUGCGUCAGAUUAGCUAGUUGGCGGGUAACGGCCCACCAAGGCGAUGAUCUGUAGGGGGUCUGAGAGGAUGAUCCCCCACACUGGUACUGAGAUACGGACCAGACUCCUACGGGAGGCAGCAGUAGGGAAUAUUGGUCAAUGGGCGAGAGCCUGAACCAGCCAUGCCGCGUGCAGGAAGAAGGCCCUCUGGGUUGUAAACUGCUUUUGACCAGGGCCAAAAUACUCAUGCGUGAGGAAUUGAGAGUACUGGUAGAAUAAGCACCGGCUAACUCCGUAGCCAGCAG
Molecule: ribosomal RNA, 488 nt
Filed under: uncultured bacterium
Lineage: Bacteria
Description: bacterial SSU rRNA
Rfam family: Bacterial small subunit ribosomal RNA
Source: RNAcentral